RNAcentral lists this small RNA (134 nucleotides) under Pseudomonas sp. NFACC02. The record is from RNAcentral. Lineage: Bacteria; Pseudomonadati; Pseudomonadota; Gammaproteobacteria; Pseudomonadales; Pseudomonadaceae.
UGUGCCAAGGGACAGGCACAGGCGGUCAAGGAAGACAGCCGCAAGGACAUCGCAGGAUGCGAUUCAUCAGGAUGAUGAAAAGGAUUAAAGGGAUUACGGAAAAAAUGUGGGCGGGUCAAACCGCCCCUUUUUUC